RNAcentral lists this long non-coding RNA (3523 nucleotides) under Ananas comosus (pineapple). RNAcentral describes it as "long non-coding RNA (ACOM_LNC040799)". Lineage: Eukaryota; Viridiplantae; Streptophyta; Magnoliopsida; Poales; Bromeliaceae. The record is from RNAcentral.
GAAUACUUAUAAGGCUACUCGGUACACUCUAAGGCUUAGUUGGAACACCCAUAUAUUUGCCAGUGCUAAGUAAAUGUUAUAAGAAAAUAUUUUAACUAGAAUUUUACCAAGGUGCAUCUAUAGUAGUGUAGGUCACACCCAUAUAUCUAAUAGUCAUAUGACCACUUUUAUAUUGGAGACCUCAUAAUACACAUUAUAGCCAUACAUGGAACACUUAUAUCACUAUUCAGUACAAUUUAAACCUUGGGUGGAACACCCAUAUAUCUUACAGUGCUAAAUAAGUAUUAUAAGAGAGUACCUAUGGGGUCCGGAUCCUGAAGCUCAGGUCCGGACCCUCUCUGCGUAUCAGGAAAUAUAUGGUACGGAUUCCGGAUCGUGAAGCCCAGAUCCGGACCCUCCCUGCGUAUCAUGCAGAGAGGACCUACGGGGUCCGGAUCCUGAAGCUCAGGUCCGGAACCUCUCUGCGUAUCAUGCAGAGAGGAUCUACGGGUUCCGGAUCCUCCUUAGGGUCCGGAUCCUGACCAUUGAAAAAGUCCGAAUUUUCCAGUUUAUAUGUUUAUAACCAAUCCUAAGUCUUCUAAACACUUUUUCUCAAGUAUAAUUUCACCACAAAUUAUUAACCUACAUACCUGAGUAAACGAGCAUCACGAGCGAGUCUUUAUCUCCGAAAUCUUGUAAUCUUGGUUUCAAUUCUUCAUCUUCAACUCUUGAAGACUCCAAUCGACUUCACGAAAUCCACGGACUUAGACAAAUCCUUAACAAUCGCCACCUUUGGCGAUUUCGUGACAAAACUAAACGGUCAAACAAACUCAAAACAGAAAAACGGAAGAUGUAAGCAUGUGAUGUAAACAUCAUAAUGUAAGCACCAAAAAAAAUCAUCUGUAAUGUAAGCAUUGAUGUAGAUGCACAAAAAAAAAAAAACAUCGUAAUGUAAGCAUCAACAUGUAAACAUCAAUACAUGUAAGCAUCAACUGACCUAAACAUCAACUAAACGAGUAAGAAUCGUGAUGUAAUUCACCAAAAAAAAAACAUCGUAAUGUAAGCAAUCAAAUGUAAAACAUCAACUAUUAAACAUGCAUCAUCAUAAUAUCCCCCCUUUAUUCUUAGAAAAACGCCAAAACGGCAAAAGAGGACAGCCAAGGACACCUAAUCCGAAUCUGCAUCUGAGGAGGGAAAUCAGCACUGCAACAAAUCAUUUUUCAAAUAGAGCCUUCAUGACCUCAGAAAUCUGCUCAUUUUCUUGAAAGCUUGCUUGUUCAGAUAACAAUGCGAUUCAGGCUCGCCUGAAAAUCUGUUCAUGUUUAUAUUCGAGAGUCGCUCAUUGCCUCACGAUACACAUGAGGAAACUGAUACAUCCGUCUUCAGAUACCUCCUGAGAAGUUGCGAAGGUUCAGGGAGCCAGCAGGCAGGCUAAAUAGGGAGUGCUGCUGAAUAGAACGACGUGGAGGAGAAUGACGCAGAGGUGAUGAAGCUGAACAAGCAGACUUUAUAAAGAGUAGUCUCACUGAUAACCCCGAGACUAACAUACAUAAGAGCCUAUAUCGAGUGGUCCACACCCCCACGCUAAAGGCACGAAGGUAUUCGCAUAAUGAUCAAGGAUAGGAAGCGUGCAUUGUCUGAUUGGAUGAUUUCAUAUCCUUUGUCAUCCGACGCCAAUCAGAGAAAGAAGUCAAGUUAAUGACCUCGCUGAUCGUUACCUCUUCGGGUCGUCCAAGUAAAUACAUGUACAAAAGCAUGUACCCAACGUAUACAUUCGUCUUCAUUGUCGGGUAAAGAUAUUAUAGUCACAACAAAGUGAGCAAAACGAAUACUCCAAUUUCAAUUCUUUAACAAUACUGAUAUCCCUGUUUGCAUUGAGUAUUAGGCAUACAAACUCAUUACAAUACGACCGCCAGUCACAAAGUUGAGUCAAUAGGCCCAGCAUGCAAAUAAUCAACUCCAUCAGUACACACUUGAUGUCAAGAACCGAACCGACCCAAAUCCGGCUAAUAUCUCAGGGAGAUGCCACGGACAAUAAGCUCUUGAAACAAUAUGGUCACCAGUCAGUAUCAUGGAGGAUGUCAGCAGCACAUAUAAACAUCUCGAAGUCAGUUCAGAUAAUAACCCGUCUGCCUUCAGCGAAACGAACAAAUAGCCAACAAGAUCACCAUUCAUAUAAAGGAUUCAACACGGCGCUUUUUAAUUAGCUGAGGAACACCACAUCUCGCUCGUCAAUACAUACUUUGCGAAUAGAACAUUGCCUACGUUAGAAUCAAACUGGAGGCUCACGACUCUCAUCACCAUUCGGUCUCUUCUACGCGGGUCGACUGUUCAAUUUUUCCCUUUCCGUUCCUUUUCCUUCUCUUUUCUUUCCUUUUUCUUUUCCUUUUCCUUUCCUUCUCUUCUCCGAAGCGCCAGCCCUUUCCCUUUUCUUGACAACACCUCAGGAGCCAUGCGCUUCCCGUCCGAUCGGAUUCUGCUUCGACUCCUCUUCGGCAGCAUACUCAAAUGUCCACAUCUUCCACAGGAUUGCUCGAGCUAGUUGCUGAGCGAGGAACGGCGACGUUUCCCCCACGCCCACCACCAGCCCAUCAUGAACAUCAAGUGACGUAAUAAAAGAAAACUACAUAUAGCUGACAAAAAAAAAAAAAAUUCCUGUCUUAUAGACCAAAUUUGUAAACAAAAUUGACAUCAUAAAUAUCAUUUAGUAAAAAAAAAUUAUAAAACACUUUAAAAAUAAUUAUAGAAAAAAAUCCAGGCCUAUAGAACGUUAGCAGAAAAUAUGCCUCACAAGAAAAUAUCCAUGUCAAAAACGUCAUAAUAAAAUUGCAGACAAUCUGUCAUUAUCAAUAAACUAGACAUGAAGCUCUUGAUGUUUAAAAAUGAAACAGAUUUGGGGUCAUAUACUAUCCAAAUCAUGCAAAAACACAAUAUGAUAUUUUCCAACAAGUCUAGAUCAAAAACCAACGAAAGAAAGAAACGAUCUAACAAGUUAUAUGAAUCAAUUACAAAAAUAGGCACAAUUUCGGAAUAUUCACCAAGAAACAAAGCAAAUCUGAAAACCUUACCGAAAAUGAGAUGAAAACCAAGAGAAAACUUAAGCAAAUUCACCCUCGAGGUUUCAAGUGUUCGUGGGAGAUGUUUUGAGAGAAGAUUGGGAAAGUAUGAGAGAGAAUGGACCAAAGAGAUUAUAUGAAGUCGGGCGGAGGGUCCGGACCUUCCAGCAAGGGUCCGGAUCGUGAAGCCCAGGUCCGGACCCUCUCUGCGUAUCAUGCAGAGAGGAUCUACAGGGUCCGAAUCUUGAAGCACAGGUCCGGACCCCCUCUGCGUAUCAUGCAGAGAGGACCUACCGGGUCCGGAUCCUGAAGCACAGGUCCGGACCCUCUCUGCGUAUCUUGCAGAGAGGAUCUACGGGGUCCGGAUCCUGAAGCACAGGUCCGGACCCUCUCUGCGUAUCUUGCAGAGAGGAUCUACGAGGUCCGAAUCCUGAAGCACAGGUCCGGACCCUCUCUGCGUAUCAUGCAGAGAGGACCUACGGGGUCCG